CCUACGGGUGGCAGCAGUGGGGGAUAUUGCACAAUGGGGGAAACCCUGAUGCAGCGACGCCGCGUGUAGGAAGACGGUCCUCUGGAUUGUAAACUACUGUCCCCAGGGACGAAGAUGACGGUACCUGGGGAGGAAGCUCCGGCUAACUACGUGCCAGCAGCCGCGGUAAUACGUAGGGAGCGAGCGUUGUCCGGAAUUACGGGGUGUAAAGGGAGCGUAGGCGGGGAUGCAAGUUGGGUGUUAAAUCUACCGGCUCAACGGGGAGUCGCACUCAAAACUGCAGCUCUUGAGUGAAGUAGAGGCAGGCGGAAUUCCGAGUGUAGCGGUGAAAUGCGUAGAUAUUAGGAGGAACACCAGUGGCGAGGGCGGCCUGCUGGGCUUUUACUGACGCUGAGGCUCGAAAGUGUGGGGAGCAAACAGGAUUAGAUACCCGGGUAGUC
This 440-nucleotide ribosomal RNA is filed under the name uncultured bacterium. RNAcentral describes it as "partial 16S ribosomal RNA". It matches the Rfam family "Bacterial small subunit ribosomal RNA", at positions 338 to 795 of the family's 1533-position model. The record is from RNAcentral.